UUUCUGCCACCGAAUACAUUAGCAUGGGAUAAUGGAAUAGGACCCUGUCCUCCUAUUUUCAGUUGGUUUUGGCAGCGCGAGGACUAGGGUAAUGAUUAAUAGGGAUAGUUGGGGGCAUUAAUAUUUAAUUGUCAGAGGUGAAAUUCUUGGAUUUAUGAAAGAUUAACUUCUGCGAAAGCAUCUGCCAAGGAUGUUUUCAUUAAUCAAGAACGAAAGUUAGGGGAUCGAAGACGAUCAGAUACCGUCGUAGUCUUAACCAUAAACGAUGCCGACCAGCGAUUAGGAGACGUUGAAUACAAAACACCACCAUCGGCGCGGUCGUCCUUGGCGUCGGUCCUUC
RNAcentral lists this ribosomal RNA (340 nucleotides) under Acanthamoeba sp. MMN-2011/T4. RNAcentral's name for it is "SSU rRNA". It matches the Rfam family "Eukaryotic small subunit ribosomal RNA", at positions 786 to 1080 of the family's 1831-position model. The record is from RNAcentral. Lineage: Eukaryota; Discosea; Longamoebia; Acanthamoebidae.